RNAcentral lists this ribosomal RNA (253 nucleotides) under uncultured bacterium. Its description in RNAcentral is "partial 16S ribosomal RNA". It matches the Rfam family "Bacterial small subunit ribosomal RNA", at positions 524 to 776 of the family's 1533-position model. The record is from RNAcentral.
UACAGAGGUCCCAAGCGUUGUUCGGAUUCACUGGGCGUAAAGGGUGCGUAGGCGGUCGGGUAAGUCUGGCGUGAAAUCUCCAAGCCUAACUUGGAAACUGCGUUGGAUACUAUCCGGCUCGAGGAAUGGAGGGGAGACUGGAAUACUUGGUGCAGCAGUGAAAUGCGUAGAUAUCAAGUGGAACACCAGUGGCGAAGGCGAGUCUCUGGACAUUUCCUGACGCUGAGGCACGAAAGCCAGGGGAGCAAACGGG